GACGAACGCUGGCGGCGUGCUUAACACAUGCAAGUCGAACGAUGAAGCCUAGCUUGCUAGGUGGAUUAGUGGCGAACGGGUGAGUAAUACGUGAGUAACCUACCUUUAACUCUGGGAUAAGCCCGGGAAACUGGGUCUAAUACCGGAUACGACCAAUCUCCGCAUGGGGUGUUGGUGGAAAGCGUUAUGUAGUGGUUAUAGAUGGGCUCACGGCCUAUCAGCUUGUUGGUGAGGUAACGGCUCACCAAGGCGACGACGGGUAGCCGGCCUGAGAGGGUGACCGGCCACACUGGGACUGAGACAGGGCCCAGACUCCUACGGGAGGCAGCAGUGGGGAAUAUUGCACAAUGGGCGCAAGCCUGAUGCAGCGACGCCGCGUGAGGGAUGACGGCCUUCGGGUUGUAAACCUCUGUUAGCAGGGAAGAAGAGGGAUUGACGGUACCUGCAGAGAAAGCGCCGGCUAACUACGUG
This 471-nucleotide ribosomal RNA is filed under the name uncultured bacterium. RNAcentral's name for it is "partial 16S ribosomal RNA". It matches the Rfam family "Bacterial small subunit ribosomal RNA", at positions 28 to 507 of the family's 1533-position model. The record is from RNAcentral.